AACGAACGCUGGCGGCAUGCCUAACACAUGCGAGUCGAACGAGACCUUCGGGUCUAGUGGCGCACGGGUGCGUCACGCGUGGGAAUCUGCCCUUAGGUUCGGAAUAACUCCCCGAAAGGGGUGCUAAUACCGGAUAAUGUCUUCGGACCAAAGAUUCAUCGCCUUUGGAUGGGCCCGCGUUGGAUUAGCUAGUUGGUAGGGUAAAAGCCUACCAAGGCGACGAUCCAUAGCUGGUCUGAGAGGAUGAUCAGCCACACUGGGACUGAGACACGGCCCAGACUCCUACGGGAGGCAGCAGUGGGGAAUAUUGGACAAUGGGCGAAAGCCUGAUCCAGCAAUGCCGCGUGAGUGAUGAAGGCCUUAGGGUUGUAAAGCUCUUUUACCCGGGAUGAUAAUGACAGUACCGGGAGAAUAAGCUCCGGCUAACUCCGUG
Molecule: ribosomal RNA, 433 nt
Filed under: uncultured bacterium
Lineage: Bacteria
Description: partial 16S ribosomal RNA
Rfam family: Bacterial small subunit ribosomal RNA
Source: RNAcentral